AGGUCUUGAAACAAGGCCGGCUGAGUAGAUCAGCUACAGGUGGCUCAGGACCCAGGUUUUGGAAUUUGCACUUGGUAUCAGCUAAGGUAAACUGGAGAAAAACAAGGCUGUGAACUUCAGAAAUCUCUCAAGACCCAAGACUGAGCUGAAUAUGUGAGAUAUACAGGGAAUUAAGCAAACACAAGCAAAGAACAACA
This 197-nucleotide long non-coding RNA is filed under the name Fukomys damarensis (Damara mole-rat). RNAcentral describes it as "lncRNA (ENSFDAG00000028077.1)". Lineage: Eukaryota; Metazoa; Chordata; Mammalia; Rodentia; Bathyergidae. The record is from RNAcentral.